CAGGCUUCUCUUGUUGCAGAGCAUCACCUCUAGGGUGCUCAGGAUUCAGAAGUUGCAGUUCCCUGGGCUACAGAGCACAGGCUCAAUAGUUGUGGCCUUUGGGCUUAUGCUCUGAGGCAUGUGGGGUCUUCGUGGAUCAGGGAUUGAACCCAUCUCCUGCAUUGGCGGGCAGAUUCUUUACCGCUGAGCCACCAGAGAAGCCCUGAACUCCACUCUUCAGCACCUAGAACUUAGAAAGAACAUCACAGGAUUCUAGCUACUCUCAAAGAAUGUGCUCUAGUGAACUCCACAAGAGGGAAAGCCUUUGCAUACUUUAAUAUUCUGGAGGUUUGUGAUGAAGAAAGAGACCAAGUCAGUGAAAACAUUGUCUGACAUGACAUAUGUUUAAAAAAAAAUGACAAACCCCAAAUGAAUUGAUUUUUUUCUCCCUACUCCCAGGGUCACAGCAAAGCAAGACCUGACUGCAGUUUUAACCCUGCCCAUAAAUGUGACCCAUAAAACAAUCAAUCUUAAUUUUUGGAUCAAGACUCUGGAGCUAAUCUGCAUGGUUAAGACCCCUGCAGUUCCCUUCCCCCAGAAGAACACGGCCUGGCUUGAAAUCCUCUUUUCUUUUGCUAAUACCUCCUUGUCCCACCCUCCUCCAGCCUAUAAGAACCCUCUGGAGUUCCCCUCUAGUUGCUACAGGAGCUACUGUCUGAUUCUUGAAUCUCUGAAUAAAGCCCAUCAGAUCUUCAAAUUUACUCAAUUUUGAUUUUUAACACACAUCUCCCUUAUGUCACGAGAUACAUGUUGGUGUGUCUGUGUGUGGUCAGGCACCAACUGGAGGUGUUAUUCAUGAUGUAGUUUUUACACCUCAGGCUGUGGUCAAGUAGGAGUUUGUGGUACUCCUCAACAUUCCAAGAGGCAAACCACAAAACUCUGAAUGAUGAAAAUUGUCUCUAUUUUGAGAGAUUCUGGUGUGUAUCGGGUGGUCUAAGUGCGAUCAACUUUGUAAAAACCCCAUUUCCUCUGUUACUGAAACCAGGAUUUAGUAACAGGUUAAGAUAGAGCCUUCUAAGUCAACUCUCUAAGCUCCAGAGGACAGAGAGUGUUCCAGGCCCCGCUUCUCAGAGCCUUGGCAGUGCCUUCUAAGUGGCAGGGACACCCAGCACUGAAUCCUGCCAUGGGGCUGAGAAGAAGACAGAUCCCCACCACCUCUCAGGUGCCCCAGGAUGCUCUCGGCACUUGUACUGUAGAAUCCGGUGUCGCAAACACUCCUCGGAGGACACUCGAGACAGCGGAGUACGGUUUAUUACGCUAACAGGUCCUAACAAGU
Bos taurus (domestic cattle) is the source of this 1315-nucleotide long non-coding RNA. Lineage: Eukaryota; Metazoa; Chordata; Mammalia; Artiodactyla; Bovidae. The record is from Ensembl.